UUAUCCCUGCGGUGUUCGUUUUGGUGCGAUAUCUUUGAACCAAUAUAAACACCCCGGCUGCCAGACUCGCGAAGUGGUGUGCAAUUCCAAUGCGAAAUUGCCUGAAACUUUGCCCAGGUGGCCCCUUGAACCUUAGGUUCAAGACUAGCAUCGGACGGCACCUGCGGGGGUACC
Molecule: non-coding RNA, 174 nt
Filed under: Leeia aquatica
Lineage: Bacteria; Pseudomonadati; Pseudomonadota; Betaproteobacteria; Neisseriales; Leeiaceae
Description: 6S / SsrS RNA
Rfam family: 6S / SsrS RNA
About the family: E. coli 6S RNA was the first non coding RNA to be sequenced, but its function was unknown until recently. It consists of 184 nucleotides that fold into an extended hairpin structure with a large single-stranded internal bulge. The 6S RNA specifically associates with RNA polymerase holoenzyme containing the sigma70 specificity factor.
Source: Rfam by way of RNAcentral